Hydra vulgaris (swiftwater hydra) is the source of this 208-nucleotide non-coding RNA. NCBI's taxonomy places the organism in Eukaryota, Metazoa, Cnidaria, Hydrozoa, Anthoathecata, Hydridae. The record is from RefSeq and is a predicted model, not a curated record.
AUGCGCUGCUAAAGAAAUUAAACAUUGGAGUAAAUAAAUAAAGAACCUAUAUAACUAUGUUUGAAUCUAAUGUGCAUCGAGCUGUUGGUUAAAUGAGCAGUCCAUCAAAUGCCACAUCGUUAAACCAACAUUUCGGUCUAGUAUUUGAGGAAGAAGCUGCAUAUUUUUAUGACCUUAUUUAAACCAAAUAAAAAUAAAAACCUUUUCA